GAUGAACGCUGGCGGCGUGCCUAAUACAUGCAAGUCGAGCGAACAGAUGAGGAGCUUGCUCCUCUGACGUUAGCGGCGGACGGGUGAGUAACACGUGGAUAACCUACCUAUAAGACUGGGAUAACUUCGGGAAACCGGAGCUAAUACCGGAUAAUAUAUUGAACCGCAUGGUUCAAUAGUGAAAGACGGUUUUGCUGUCACUUAUAGAUGGAUCCGCGCCGCAUUAGCUAGUUGGUAAGGUAACGGCUUACCAAGGCAACGAUGCGUAGCCGACCUGAGAGGGGGGACGUGCAAAAGGAGCAAGGAUACCGGGCCAGCACCCAGGGGGGGGACAGAAGGGGGAAAUCUUCAGAAAGGGGAGAAGCCGGGAAGGCGCACCGCGGGGGGGUUAAGAAGGUUUUUGGGAUUAAAAAACUGUUUGAUGGGGGAAAAAAAAAUGUAAAAGAAACUUUCCACGUUUGGAGGGACCAAAAUAAAAAGACCAGGCAAACCCCGGUC
RNAcentral lists this ribosomal RNA (498 nucleotides) under uncultured bacterium. RNAcentral's name for it is "partial 16S ribosomal RNA". It matches the Rfam family "Bacterial small subunit ribosomal RNA", at positions 28 to 508 of the family's 1533-position model. The record is from RNAcentral.